This 536-nucleotide unclassified non-coding RNA is filed under the name Hevea brasiliensis (rubber tree). The record is from RNAcentral. Lineage: Eukaryota; Viridiplantae; Streptophyta; Magnoliopsida; Malpighiales; Euphorbiaceae.
CACACACACACACAUACACACACAGAGUUUGAUAUGUUCUGAUCAGUUUGGUAUGGUUCUUUAGUUCAUUUUGAGACCAUCAAGAACCAUGCACACCCCUAAUUUCAACUAUGAUAUAGCAGCAGUUCAAAAGGAGCACAAACUACAAUCAUAUCACCUUUAUGAGACAGCAAAAGAUAGAAAUUGGAAUUUGAAGAAACACUUCAACACUCACGAAGUUUCUAGCAUGUCAUCUUGUCCAGAACCCUGUGUGGCACUACAGCCAGAAGAAGCUGAGCCUGCUUCAUCAGAACUAGCCUUGGAUGAAGCAAAUUGUCCCUUCUUCCGCUGCAUCCUGAACAUAUUCGCACAGGACAUAUCAUAAUAUAGACAAAUUGACAAGCAGUUGGGAAAAGUGCAUUAGAUUAGCAAAUGAAGGAAUAGGAAUUAAGAAAAAAUAUGGCAGCUUUGAUUGGUAUCUUCAAGCCAAUAACUGUGAUUGAUAACUGGUAAACCAAUCAACAGUUACACACAUACUAGAUAUAAUUUGUCUUUAU